This is a long non-coding RNA of Brassica oleracea var. oleracea, 187 nucleotides long. RefSeq lists it as uncharacterized. The record is from RefSeq and is a predicted model, not a curated record. The transcript is spliced from 2 exons. NCBI's taxonomy places the organism in Eukaryota, Viridiplantae, Streptophyta, Magnoliopsida, Brassicales, Brassicaceae.
CCUCUUAUGUGAUUUGAGACUUGGCCGUCCGAGAACAGAGGAAUGUGGAAGAGCUGGAAUUAGAGGGUAAAUAUGAAUGUCUCAAUGCCAGUUGUAUUUCAUGUAUUUUAUGUUUUCGGAAUAUGUGUAUUUUUCUAAAAUCUGAUAGAAGUUGAACUCAUUUGUCAAAUUUAAGCAUGAUAGCUGA